Molecule: long non-coding RNA, 2160 nt
Organism: Peromyscus maniculatus bairdii (prairie deer mouse)
Lineage: Eukaryota; Metazoa; Chordata; Mammalia; Rodentia; Cricetidae
Source: RefSeq, a predicted model, not a curated record
CCAGGUCAGAGGUUGUUGUAAAGCCCCAAGGUUCAAGCCCUACCCACUUCCGGGUCAGGACCACGGUCUAACUUCCUGGGGUGAUUCCAAGGUGUAGCCCCACUGUCCUGAAUCUUCAUCACCUGGGGCACCCACUGAGUUCUGGAAGCUGUGUCCUCCUCAACAUCCACUGCAUUUGGCGCUGCAUUUCAGUGAGAGCCCAGCAUUUCCUAGUCCUAUUCCGAGGUUUGCUUCCAUUGCCUGAAGGAGCAGAACUUCACCUCGUGAGACACCAGCAGCAUCAUUCUAGAUCCAGAGAGCAGGUUCCGAAGAGUCCUCAGUGAGAGAACCAGCAGACAGACAGCAGCUAGGGGAACUGGCCCUCCCUCCGGCCAGUCUGCGGAGGCUCAUAGCCUCACUUGUACCUACACUCUCUGCUUGUUUCACCAAACAAGGAAAACACCAGAACUACCUUAAUGAUGGACUCACGGGAGAUGCUUCGAACAGUAGCGAACUAUCUUGUCUAACCUCAACUGCUAAUGGAACCAGAGUGGAGGUACCCACAGCUGGAGCCAGGGGCCGGCUGGGGAGCAGAGUCCCUGACAGGUGGCAGCCCUUUCCUGGAGAAGAGAUGGAGAUGCAGCUUUCAGGGACGCCUGUCUCUUAGUCCCCCAGCAAAGGAAAUGUUUGUUGACCUCCACCUUAGAGUAGUGGACGCAUAGGCAAAGAAUGGCUGCAUAGGAGAGGACUGGACCCAGUAAGACGGGAAAGGAUCAUCACGAACAGGGAGCCCCAUGCCGCAGCCUGGAGGAAGACAGCUGGCCCAGCAGACAGCGGGAUGGGAAAACACAAGGAACGCUGUGACAACAAACAACUGCCUAUGUGAACACAGAGUCUGGCUUUGGGGAGAGCUCGGCAACCCAGCCUCUGAGCCCAACCCCCUCAUUCUCCCUCUGCUCAGGACGACGACUUUACACCCUCCCGCCUCUCUUCAGACCCAGGAAGCCUCUGUUCACACUUUCAGCUGGUGACCUUUUCUCCCCCUGGGGAAAUCGAGGCCAUCACCAGCGAACCUGCGCACACUCCCACCACCACCGCAGGCUGUCCCCUGCCUGCCGCCGCUCUGGGGCCAAACUGUCCUCUGUCCUUGCCUAGAACACCCCUAUUGCCUGGGGAUUUGACUCCACCCACCCCCUUUCCUACUCAUCCCGCACAGUUCUCUCAACUGACUUUCCUCACUCCUGCAUUGUCCGUUUCUUCCUCUCCGUGAGACUGAUCUCGAUGCUUCCCAUGGGGUGCGCCCCUCCUCCCGUGCUCAGGGCAGCCGUUGGUGUUGCCUUGCAGCGCCACCUACCCUGCUCCGUCAGGGCACGUGGAUUUGGAAAGGUGUGACUCUCGUGUGGCCUCCCUCCUCUUCUGUUCGCUCCCCCCUUUUACUCCUCCUCGGUCUUGUGCGCUGUUGCCUCAAAACCAGUCUUGUCGCCAGUGAGCUACUUAUUAAAUCUGCUGCCAACGACUGCCCCUUGAUUUACCUGACCUCCUAGCAGCCGCUGGCCUGGGAGAGUGCCUGCCGUGGGGAUGCCACAGAAGACAUUGCCUGAUCAAAAGCAACUGCCUAAGGAAGUGUUUCCCACUGUUUGACAGCUGAGGCACAGAGGCCGUAUAACAAUGAGAAACAUAAAAUAACGGAAGCAGGAAAGCCCAGUGUAAUGAAGAUCCGGGAGCCACAGAACCUGUACCAAUUCCAAUGCUUCUGUUUUCUAACUACAUGACACUGGGCAGUGACUUCACCUCGCCAUACCUGCUUGCUUACCUGGAAACUGGAAAUAAGAACCUAACUCUUAGCAUUGUUAUAAACCCAGUAACCUGUCAAAGUCAGAACAGUGGCUAGGGCCCAGCACCGGCUCAGAGAAGGACGACUGUUCUACCGUUCAUAUCCUUUUCAGCAUUCCAAUUUCAAUUAGCUGUAUUAAUACUUUUUCACACAUCACUGUCUAAACCAUUUAGACUUCCAAAAUUAGAGUCUUAUAUAUGUUGCAAAAUUGCUAAUACAUUGGAUCUGAACUGAAGACCAACAAAUAGCAUUUAUAUUAUUAUAUGCCCUGCAGAAUCAGGUCGUGCAAGUAAACCACGGCAGAAAGGAAUAUAGCACGAUUUCAUUAAAGCCAGGGAGGGCAUCAU